This 607-nucleotide long non-coding RNA is filed under the name Arabidopsis lyrata. Its description in RNAcentral is "long non-coding RNA (ALYR_LNC002409)". The record is from RNAcentral. Lineage: Eukaryota; Viridiplantae; Streptophyta; Magnoliopsida; Brassicales; Brassicaceae.
GAAAAACAUUAGAGCAGAAGAUGUUGCUCCCGAUUUUAUCAUCCUCUAUACAAACAUUUUUUUUCCUGGAAACUCUAAUAAUCUCUUUUUUUUUUCUUCUCUCUUAUUUUCAUCGAAUAAAUCUUCUAGACAAUCUUGAUCACGCUUAAAUCUUUUUGAUCUCUGUAAAUAAUCUAUGGACGAAGUCUGGUUUCUGAAUUUUCAAUCUUUUUAAAGUAAUGGAAACGACAUCGUUUUGAUAUUUGGGGGUUUACCUCUGAAAGAAUCAAUAGAAGGGUGGUGGUGGAGGAGAUGCAUAGGAUACUCCGAUAACCGGCGGUAAUGGCCCUUCAAAUUCAGGUGAUGGAGGUGGAGGAGAACUGUGAUGGACUGGCGGUGGCGGUGGCGGUGGCGGUGGGGAACUGUAAUGGAUUGAUGGUGGCGGUGGAGAACUGUAAUGGACGGAUGGUGGCGGCGGAGAGCUGUAAUGGAUUGCCGGUGGAGGAGGAGGUGAGUAUUCUAUGCAAGGAGGAGGUGGAGGUGGUUCGAUACAAGGAGGUGGGGGAGGAGGGGAAUAAUGUGGAGGCGGUGGUGAGUGAUGCGGUGGAGGUGGGGAUGAGUAUAUNNN